RNAcentral lists this long non-coding RNA (1774 nucleotides) under Homo sapiens (human). Its description in RNAcentral is "HSALNT0098694". The record is from RNAcentral. Lineage: Eukaryota; Metazoa; Chordata; Mammalia; Primates; Hominidae.
GUAAAUGUGAAAACCAAAGGGAUGGAGUGAGAAUAUAGAGUGAGAGGGAGUGGGGGGCUCUUAAGUCCGUUUGUUCUGGGCUUGAAUCCCACCUGUGGAAUUUACAUAUAGCAUGUGACCCUCAGCCUCAGCUUACACUCUCUAAAAUGGGGGUGGUAGGCUCUGUCUCGCAGGGUUAUGAAGAAUCAAGGAAACGGUGUUUGCACGAGAGCUAGCAGUGGCAGAACACAGAAUGCCGUCUUCAAACUCAAAGAGGCUCCAAAAAUAAGGAUCUGAAUAGGAUAGUGAGGGGCCUAGAAAUGCCCUGUGAGGAAAGGAGUAAGAGACCCAGUCUCUGAAGAGUGGCCACAGAGGAGGGAGGACUGACGUGAAGCCAUCUGAAGAGUGGCCACGGAGGAGGGAGAACCGACAUGAAGCCAUCUGAAGAGUGGCCACGGAGGAGGGAGGACCGACAUGAAGCCAUCUGAAGAGUGGCCACGGAGGAGGGAGGACCGACAUGAAGCCAUCUGAAGAGUGGCCACGGAGGAGGGAGGACCGACGUGAAUCCAUCUGAAGAGUGGCCACGGAGGAGGGAGGACCGACGUGAAUCCAUCUGAAGAGAGGCCACGGAGGAGGGAGGACCGACAUGAAGCCAUCUGAAGAGUGGCCACGGAGGAGGGAGGACCGACGUGAAUCCAUCUGAAGAGUGGCCACCGAGGAGGGAGGACCGACGUGAAGCCAUCUGAAGAGUGGCCACGGAGGAGGGAGGACCGACAUGAAUCCAUGUGAAGAGUGGCCACUGAGGAGGGAGGACCGACAUGAAUCCAUGUGAAGAGUGGCCACUGAGGAGGGAGGACCGACGUGAAGCCAUCUGAAGAGUGGCCACGGAGGAGGGAGGACUGACGUGAAUCCAUCUGAAGAGUGGCCACGGAGGAGGGAGGACUGACGUGAAUCCAUCUGAAGAGUGGCCACGGAGGAGGGAGGACUGACGUGAAUCCAUCUGAAGAGUGGCCACGGAGGAGGGAGAACCGACAUGAAGCCAUCUGAAGAGUGGCCACGGAGGAGGGAGGACCGACAUGAAGCCAUCUGAAGAGUGGCCACGGAGGAGGGAGGACCGACAUGAAGCCAUCUGAAGAGUGGCCACGGAGGAGGGAGGACUGACGUGAAUCCAUCUGAAGAGUGACCAUGGAGCAGGGAGGACCGAUGUGAAGCCAUCUGAAGAGUGACCAUGGAGGAGGGAGGACUGACGUGAAUCCAGCAUGUGAGCCCGGGAGAUGGCACAUCCAGAACCAGUGGGUGCAAGGCCCAGGGCAGCCGAAGUCUUCUCCACCUAAGGGGUUUCGGCAGAGUUGUCUAAAACUCAAUACUCCGCCUUACUACAGACCGUGUUCCCCACCAGAAGAACUGAGCUCACUUACGCAGUCAACAAAUACCACCUAUGGGCUGUCCCCACUUGGAUGUUGGCUGGGCUCCACAACUUCAUAGGUCCUGAACAAGAUGCUUGAUUUCCCUCUUCGAACCUGUCUUCCUCACUGCAGUCUGUGCUACGACCAUCCACUCCAUAGCGGAAGCCCAAACCCGCUAGUAGCCUCAAUUUCUUCCCUCGCCUCGUAUCACACCCCUCCCAUCCCAUUCAUGAACAAACUCUAUAGAUUCUCUCUCCAGAUAUGUCUCACAUCCCUCCACUUCUUUUGUCUCUGCAGCCCUCAGUGCAAGCGCCUGCCCCCUCCCACCUGGCUUCCUGCAGGAACCACCCAGCUUGCCUCCUUGCUUCCUGUCUCACUCCACCUAGUCC